CGCAUGGUGGGUGUUGGAAAGAUUUAUCGGUUUUGGAUGGACUCGCGGCCUAUCAGCUUGUUGGUGAGGUAAUGGCUCACCAAGGCGACGACGGGUAGCCGGCCUGAGAGGGUGACCGGCCACACUGGGACUGAGACACGGCCCAGACUCCUACGGGAGGCAGCAGUGGGGAAUAUUGCACAAUGGGCGCAAGCCUGAUGCAGCGACGCCGCGUGAGGGAUGACGGCCUUCGGGUUGUAAACCUCUUUCAGUAGGGAAGAAGCGAAAGUGACGGUACCUGCAGAAGAAGCACCGGCUAACUACGUGCCAGCAGCCGCGGUAAUACGUAGGGUGCGAGCGUUAUCCGGAAUUAUUGGGCGUAAAGAGCUCGUAGGCGGUUUGUCGCGUCUGUCGUGAAAGUCCGGGGCUUAACCCCGGAUCUGCGGUGGGUACGGGCAGACUAGAGUGCAGUAGGGGAGACUGGAAUUCCUGGUGUAGCGGUGGAAUGCGCAGAUAUCAGGAGGAACACCGAUGGCGAAGGCAGGUCUCUGGGCUGUAACUGACGCUGAGGACGAAAGCAUGGGGAGCGAACAGGAUUAGAUACCCUGGUAGUCCAUGCCGUAAACGUUGGGCACUAGGUGUGGGGACCAUUCCACGGUUUCCGCGCCGCAGCUAACGCAUUAAGUGCCCCGCCUGGGGAGUACGGCCGCAAGGCUAAAACUCAAAGGAAUUGACGGGGGCCCGCACAAGCGGCGGAGCAUGCGGAUUAAUUCGAUGCAACGCGAAGAACCUUACCAAGGCUUGACAUGUUCUCGAUCGCCGUAGAGAUACGGUUUCCCCUUUGGGGCGGGUUCACAGGUGGUGCAUGGUUGUCGUCAGCUCGUGUCGUGAGAUGUUGGGUUAAGUCCCGCAACGAGCGCAACCCUCGUUCCAUGUUGCCAGCACGUCGUGGUGGGGACUCAUGGGAGACUGCCGGGGUCAACUCGGAGGAAGGUGAGGACGACGUCAAAUCAUCAUGCCCCUUAUGUCUUGGGCUUCACGCAUGCUACAAUGGCCGGUACAAUGGGUUGCGAUACUGUGAGGUGGAGCUAAUCCCAAAAAGCCGGUCUCAGUUCGGAUUGGGGUCUGCAACUCGACCCC
Molecule: ribosomal RNA, 1119 nt
Filed under: Micrococcus luteus
Lineage: Bacteria; Bacillati; Actinomycetota; Actinomycetes; Micrococcales; Micrococcaceae
Description: bacterial SSU rRNA
Rfam family: Bacterial small subunit ribosomal RNA
Source: RNAcentral